RNAcentral lists this ribosomal RNA (465 nucleotides) under uncultured bacterium. RNAcentral's name for it is "partial 16S ribosomal RNA". It matches the Rfam family "Bacterial small subunit ribosomal RNA", at positions 28 to 507 of the family's 1533-position model. The record is from RNAcentral.
GACGAACGCUGGCGGCGUGCUUAACACAUGCAAGUCGAACGGAAAGGCCCUGCUUGCAGGGUACUCGAGUGGCGAACGGGUGAGUAACACGUGGGUGAUCUGCCCUCCACUUCGGGAUAAGCCUGGUAAACUGGGUCUAAUACCUGAUAGGAGCCAUUUUUAGUGUGAUGGUUGGAAAGUUUUUUCGGUUUAGGAUGAGCUCGCGGCCUAUCAGCUUGUUGGUGGGGUAAUGGCCUACCAAGGCGGCGACGGGUAGCCGGCCUGAGAGGGUGGACGGCCACAUUGGGACCGAGGGACGGCCCAGACUCCUAAGGGAGGGAAGAGUGGGGAAGAUUGAACAAUGGGCGCAAGGCUGGUGCAGAGGCGCCGCGUGGGGGAUGACGGGCUUCGGGGUGUAAAAUCCUUUUGUAAGGGACGAAGCUUUUUGUGACGGUACCUAGAUAAGAAGCACCGGCUAACUACGUG